Molecule: non-coding RNA, 1045 nt
Organism: Cervus elaphus (red deer)
Lineage: Eukaryota; Metazoa; Chordata; Mammalia; Artiodactyla; Cervidae
Source: the annotation of a RefSeq genome assembly
CCCCCAGCCACCCUUACAACGGACAAACCGUCCCAUGGCUAGACAGCAGCUGAUCUGGGCAGGGACAGGCAGGGGACCAGCACACCGCAGAGUCAUCCCCAUAAAGCCAUGCUGUGGACCUGUGCCCUCUUCCACCUGGCCAUCUGCUGGGCAGGGGUCUCUUUGGAUGUAAUUUUGGAAUCAGAGACCAAAACUCUGACUGUCCUCCUUGGGGAGCCUGCCACCUUCCGUUGCAAUGUAACUGGAGGGAACUGGAAGAACUAUCAGAUGAGUUGGUAUAAGAGGAAUGAGAAUAACGUCUUAACUUUAGUAUACAGACUAAGCAAUAAUUCUAAUGAAAAUGUAAGGGGUAAUUUCAAGGGGAAAAUUGAUACUUCAAAAAAUCAAUACGUACUCAACAUUCAAAAAGCAACAAUAAAAGAUGUUGGAACUUACUACUGUGGAUCCGACAUCCACAGUGCUACAGUCCUGAUUCUGAUCGCCUCAAAUCUCCCCGAGUCAAACCAAGGCAGCAGAUCCAACGAGAGACCAUCUUUGGCUAAAAUGAGCACCACCCCUGAGAAUCCAAACUGAAAGAUAACUCACUAUUUGGGACACAUUGUUCUCAUGACAGAGGAAGAAGAAAAAAAGAGCUGCUGGCAGAAACUCUGGCAGAGUGCUCCUCAGAGCAUCUGCUUGGACAUGACAUACAUUAUGUCCACCCAUGUUCAUUGAUCAAAGCCUUUGGGCCACACUCAAACUCAGCUGGGCAGGAACUCGUACCCCUCCCUCAGAAGGCACCAUAGGAAAUGAAGCAACAUGCAGGAAUUCAUCUUUUUCAAAUAAAAGGGAGGAUCAAAUACUUGUGAAUAUAAGUGAAUACAAUAAUAAUGAUACAACCUACCACACCCUUUGACUCCAUCCAUGUCAUUCAUAUCCAACAUGGAGACUUUUUCCCACAUCAAUUAAAAAGGAUUUUGACAUAUAUAUACCUAUGGCUGAUUCGUGUUGAUGUUUGGCAGUAACCAAUAAAAUUCUGUAAAGCAAUUAUCCUUCAAUUAAAAAA